AAAAGUAGGGAAGCGUGUGAGCCAUGUGCCAAGAAAAGCCGCUAUUGUGAUACACAUACCCGUACCGUAAACCGACACAGGUGGAUGAGGAGAGAAUCCUAAGGCCGACGGAAGAAGCAUUGUUAAGGAACUCGGCAAAAUGACCCCGUAACUUCGGGAGAAGGGGUGCCCUGUGAAAGCAGGGCCGCAGAGAAUAGGCUCAAGCAACUGUUUAGCAAAAACACAGGUCUAUGCGAAACCGAAAGGUGAGGUAUAUGGGCUGACGCCUGCCCGGUGCUGGAAGGUUAAGAGGAGAAGUCAGGCAACGAAGCUUCGAAUUUAAGCCCCAGUAAACGGCGGCCGUAACUAUAACGGUCCUAAGGUAGCGAAAUUCCUUGUCGGGUAAGUUCCGACCCGCACGAAAGGCGUAAUGAUUUGAGCACUGUCUCGACAAUGCAUCCGGUGAAAUUGAAGUACCAGUGAAGAUGCUGGUUACCUGCGCCAGGACGGAAAGACCCCAUGGAGCUUUACUCCAGCUUGAUACUGGGAUUCGAUACUGUAUGUACAGGAUAGGUGGGAGACGUUGAGCAUAGAACGCCAGUUUUAUGUGAGUCGCUGUUGGGAUACCACCCUUGCAGUAUUGGAUUUCUAACCUGCACCCAUGACCUGGGUGGGGGACAAUGUCUGGCGGGGAGUUUGACUGGGGCGGUCGCCUCCGAAAGGGUAUCGGAGGCGCUCAAAGGUUCCCUCAGAAUGGUUGGAAACCAUUCGAAGAGUGCAAAGGCAGAAGGGAGCUUGACUGUGACACCGACGGGUGGAACAGGUACGAAAGUAGGACUUAGUGAUCCGGUGGUAUAAAGUGGGAUUGCCAUCGCUCAACGGAUAAAAGCUACCCUGGGAUAACAGGCUUAUCACUCCCAAGAGUUCACAUCGACGGAGUGGUUUGGCACCUCGAUGUCGGCUCAUCGCAUCCUGGGGCUGUAGCAGGUCCCAAGGGUUGGGCUGUUCGCCCAUUAAAGCGGUACGCGAGCUGGGUUCAGAACGUCGUGAGACAGUUCGGUCCCUAUCCGGCGCAGGCGGAGGAUAUUUGAGAGGAGCUGUCCUUAGUACGAGAGGACCGGGAUGGACGGACCACUGGUGUAUCUGUUGGCUAUCAGAGCCAUGGCAGAGUAGCCAAGUCCGGCAGGGAUAAACGCUGAAGGCAUCUAAGCGUGAAGCCCCCCUCAAGAUGAGAUAUCCCUCAGAAAUGAGUAAGACCCCUUGAAGACUACGAGGUAGAUAGGAAUGAGGUGUAAGCACAGCAAUGUGUUCAGCUGACAUUUACUAAUCGGUCGAGGGCUUGACU
This 1324-nucleotide ribosomal RNA is filed under the name metagenome. Its description in RNAcentral is "bacterial LSU rRNA". It matches the Rfam family "Bacterial large subunit ribosomal RNA", at positions 1579 to 2925 of the family's 2925-position model. The record is from RNAcentral.